RNAcentral lists this long non-coding RNA (266 nucleotides) under Elaeis guineensis (African oil palm). Its description in RNAcentral is "long non-coding RNA (EGUI_LNC060937)". Lineage: Eukaryota; Viridiplantae; Streptophyta; Magnoliopsida; Arecales; Arecaceae. The record is from RNAcentral.
UCCUUUACUAAUUUGCCCUAGUCGCUCCACUUGCUCAUCCCAUGAAUCCUAUCAUUCAAUCAUCUCCUCUCUUUCUAACAAAAUCCAAGCUAUAGUGCUACACCCACCCUAUCUACUAGAUUUUCUAUCCACCAACAUGGUAUUAAUUCAAUUCUUUAUUUUUAUUUUAUUUUGGCUUUUUCAUUACAAUUAUAAUCCUGGCUUCAUUUCCUAUGGAACUUCUAGAUACAAUAUAGAAUUUUGCUUCAAUUCCCAUAGAUCUAAGC